RNAcentral lists this ribosomal RNA (253 nucleotides) under uncultured bacterium. RNAcentral describes it as "partial 16S ribosomal RNA". It matches the Rfam family "Bacterial small subunit ribosomal RNA", at positions 524 to 776 of the family's 1533-position model. The record is from RNAcentral.
UACAGAGGGUGCGAGCGUUGUCCGGAAUCACUGGGCGUAAAGGGCGCGUAGGCGGCUUGAUAAGCGUGCGGUGAAAGCCCGGGGCUCAACCCCGGGUCGGCCGUGCGAACUGUCGAGCUGGAGCACUGUAGAGGCAGGUGGAAUUCCGGGUGUAGCGGUGGAAUGCGUAGAGAUCCGGAAGAACACCGGUGGCGAAGGCGGCCUGCUGGGCAGUGGCUGAUGCUGAGGCGCGGACAGCGUGGGAGCAAACAGG